This 1516-nucleotide ribosomal RNA is filed under the name Campylobacter jejuni. RNAcentral's name for it is "partial 23S ribosomal RNA". It matches the Rfam family "Bacterial large subunit ribosomal RNA", at positions 1 to 1497 of the family's 2925-position model. The record is from RNAcentral. Lineage: Bacteria; Pseudomonadati; Campylobacterota; Epsilonproteobacteria; Campylobacterales; Campylobacteraceae.
AAAAAAGGUAAGCUACUAAGAGCGAAUGGUGGAUGCCUUGACUGGUAAAGGCGAUGAAGGACGUACUAGACUGCGAUAAGCUACGGGGAGCUGUCAAGAAGCUUUGAUCCGUAGAUUUCCGAAUGGGGCAACCCAAUGUAUAGAGAUAUACAUUACCUAUAUAGGAGCGAACGAGGGGAAUUGAAACAUCUUAGUACCCUCAGGAAAAGAAAUCAAUAGAGAUUGCGUCAGUAGCGGCGAGCGAAAGCGCAAGAGGGCAAACCCAGUGCUUGCACUGGGGGUUGUAGGACUGCAAUGUGCAAGAGCUGAGUUUAGCAGAACAUUCUGGAAAGUAUAGCCAUAGAGGGUGAUAGUCCCGUAUGCGAAAAACAAAGCUUAGCUAGCAGUAUCCUGAGUAGGGCGGGACACGAGGAAUCCUGUCUGAAUCCGGGUCGACCACGAUCCAACCCUAAAUACUAAUACCAGAUCGAUAGUGCACAAGUACCGUGAGGGAAAGGUGAAAAGAACUGAGGUGAUCAGAGUGAAAUAGAACCUGAAACCAUUUGCUUACAAUCAUUCAGAGCACUAUGUAGCAAUACAGUGUGAUGGACUGCCUUUUGCAUAAUGAGCCUGCGAGUUGUGGUGUCUGGCAAGGUUAAGCAAACGCGAAGCCGUAGCGAAAGCGAGUCUGAAUAGGGCGCUUAGUCAGAUGCUGCAGACCCGAAACGAAGUGAUCUAUCCAUGAGCAAGUUGAAGCUAGUGUAAGAACUAGUGGAGGACUGAACCCAUAGGCGUUGAAAAGCCCCGGGAUGACUUGUGGAUAGGGGUGAAAGGCCAAUCAAACUUCGUGAUAGCUGGUUCUCUCCGAAAUAUAUUUAGGUAUAGCGUUGUGUCGUAAUAUAAGGGGGUAGAGCACUGAAUGGGCUAGGGCAUACACCAAUGUACCAAACCCUAUCAAACUCCGAAUACCUUAUAUGUAAUCACAGCAGUCAGGCGGCGAGUGAUAAAAUCCGUCGUCAAGAGGGAAACAACCCAGACUACCAGCUAAGGUCCCUAAAUCUUACUUAAGUGGAAAACGAUGUGAAGUUACUUAAACAACCAGGAGGUUGGCUUAGAAGCAGCCAUCCUUUAAAGAAAGCGUAAUAGCUCACUGGUCUAGUGAUUUUGCGCGGAAAAUAUAACGGGGCUAAAGUAAGUACCGAAGCUGUAGACUUGCACACAACUUAGAUUAUUUAAGUUUAGAAUAAGUAGUUUAAGUUGUGUGCAAGUGGUAGGAGAGCGUUCUAUUUGCGUCGAAGGUAUACCGGUAAGGAGUGCUGGAGCGAAUAGAAGUGAGCAUGCAGGCAUGAGUAGCGAUAAUUAAUGUGAGAAUCAUUAACGCCGUAAACCCAAGGUUUCCUACGCGAUGCUCGUCAUCGUAGGGUUAGUCGGGUCCUAAGUCGAGUCCGAAAGGGGUAGACGAUGGCAAAUUGGUUAAUAUUCCAAUACCAACAUUAGUGUGCGAUGGAAGGACGCUUAGGGCUAAGGGGGCUAGCGG